This 841-nucleotide unclassified non-coding RNA is filed under the name Hevea brasiliensis (rubber tree). The record is from RNAcentral. Lineage: Eukaryota; Viridiplantae; Streptophyta; Magnoliopsida; Malpighiales; Euphorbiaceae.
UUUUUUUUUUUUUAAUCCUUAGAAGUUUUGGUAUGAGGCUUAAUUUUUGUGGGCUUUCCAUACUUCAGUACUGCCAGUCUUUUGACAAGCUAAAGAGAAGUUGUAAAGGCCUAAAAUCUAAACUUGCUGUUUGUGAGGAUGUACUGGUGCAUGUAAAGAGGGAUGGCUGAGGAAAAAGCAAGGAAUGUUGGAGAUGGAAGGGGGGAGGGGUUAGAAAGUAGGUUCCUAUAAAGUAUGCUUCAUUUAAACUAAAUUGAAGGACCGAAGAAUCCUUGGAAAUAUUAUGAGUGAAGGUUAGAGAAAUUAUCUCUUGGAUAAUUACAUUAGCUUAAAUAAGCAUCUCAUAGAAAAGUUUCUAUUCCCAACAUUGAUCAAUGUUGUUUGAAAUCGCUCAAACCAACAAAAGGCACGAGUGACUGUUCUGGCCAAUCGAAGCUUAAACGAACAAAAGGCAAAAGAUGGAGUUCUAACUGGUGUUUAUAUGUCAGUGGAAGCAGUUAGGAUCCAGUCCAUGCAUGCAAACUCCUUAGAAGCCCAAUUCAAAACAAUAAUUUGGACUCCCAACUCUGCUCUGGCCUAAUUCUAUUAUUCUGGCAAGGCUGCAGAAAUGAAAAUUUUGCAAAAUGUCAUCAUUUAGUAGCUUUUGAGCCUCAAAAGUUGAAACAUCUCACUAUUUUUAAAUUAGUAAAUUGUCAAUAUUUAUGUUUUAUGUAAUUUAUUUAGUUUUGAUUGUAAUUCCAACUCGAUAGCCAGCAUUUUAGUUGUAUGCAUAAGUUUGGAGUGUCAGAGUUGUCUUAGUCUCAAUGGAAGUUAGAUUAAAAACAAAUGUUGUAUCAGUCUA